This 1210-nucleotide long non-coding RNA is filed under the name Oryza brachyantha (malo sina). RNAcentral's name for it is "long non-coding RNA (OBRA_LNC000558)". The record is from RNAcentral. Lineage: Eukaryota; Viridiplantae; Streptophyta; Magnoliopsida; Poales; Poaceae.
CACCCUCCCCUAUGCUUCCUCUCUCUCUGUUAGCCAGCCACCAUGCGUGACUCAAGCACCAGCCAUGGUUGCUGCUGCUACUGUUUGCUCCAUGCCUGCGCACCAGCAAGCUUCUGGCCGGGCUCUUCUUCUUCUUCUUCGUUGCUUGCCUUCGUGGGGCUGGGGCACCAUUGGAUCAGGAAGAGGAGGUUGAAGCCUUCUAGCAAGCGUGGUGACCUUAUGUGAUGGCCCUAUCCUCACCGAGCUUUCUUCUCUCCCAUCUUCUCUGCUGUCUUUGAUCAGUAUUCUUGAUGAAUUGUGUGUAAGUGUCUUCUUGACCUUGCAAGACUUUUUAUCAAAAAAUACUUUUCUCUUUAUCCUCCAUGUUCUCCUUAUGAACUUUUCUUCACAUCUCGCGUCUAUCAAUCCUCCCAUCUUCUAAGUCCCCGUCUAUCCCUCUUGAGCUUGUGACUUAUGCUAAUGAACUUUAGACGUAGCAGUCUUAUUGUUACAGAUAACAGUGUAGUGAAGUUAGUGUAUGCUUCUCAUGUAUCUUUGAGCUAUGAGCCCAUUAUUGUAUGGUCCAGUAGUUUUAUGCAUGUGUGAUGAUCUCUCUAUGCCUCAUCUAUCGCUAGUUUGAUCCUAACAGUCAAAAAGAAGAGAUGUGCAUGCAAGCAAAUGGCAACACUUCUGGUUCUUAAUGCUAUAUCAGGUGGCCUCUCUACCUACUAUGCGCGUGCACUGCACUACUGCGGUGUUAGUGUUGAGGGUUUCUGUGUCUCACUCCCAUUUUCGCUGAUGCAGCGAUCGACGGCGCUUGGACCUCCGCGUGCAAAAUCUCUCUCGCUCUGCGGUGUUUUCGUCCAUGCGAGUGGGUGCUCGUUCUCUUCUCUCUGUCGAUCGCAGCGCCCAGACUAGAGGCGGACCAUGAAUGAAUUAACCGAGCAGAUGCGACGUUCAAAACAGAAAAAAAGAGUACAUAAAUACUACGGAUUUUUACUGAGCGCUAGCUAGCUCCCCUGGCAAGUGAGCGCAUUUUUACGUGUACACUGAAACAUCUACAACAAAUUAAUCGAGUGUAUACGUACGCGUCGGUGGUCCAACGUACCGUACUGCACCACCACUAAGAUCAAACGUACCGUCUGUCCGUCCCCCAGCCACGGGCACAACAAGGUCGCCCACGAAAACAUGCCCCAGCGGCCCAGCACCGAUCGCAUUAUUAUUAGGCAUU